GUGUUUCGAUCCUUUCUAUUGUAAAUGUUUCGAUCCUUUCUAUUGCAAGUGUCCCGAUCCUUCCUAUUGCAAGCUUUCUAAUCUUUUCUCUUGCAAGUGUUCUGAUCCUUUCUAUUGCAAGCUUUCUAAUCUUUCCUAUUGCAAGUGUCCUGAUCUUUCCUUACUGCAAUUUAAUCUCUACAUUUUCUUUGAAUAUGAGGAACUUUGAAUUGUUCUAGCCUUGCAUUUGAUAUAUCUCCUGUUUAGACGUAACGAUUCGAAUAUGUGCAACUUCUGAGAUUCUGACCUUUUGAUACCGAGCUGCCUAUAAGUCUGUUGGAAACUCCGAUUUGUUCAAACCUGAUUUCAUUGGAAACUAGACUCAUAGAUCUUUCUUUUGAUAUAUGGAUUGAAAGAUUUGGAAUCCAAACAUCUGCCCAGUUAUCUGUUGAAUCUGACCUUAUGAAUUCUGCCAAACAGAGAUUUUGUUCUGCGACCCUUGUUUACCAAAUUAUUUGUAACUCUCUCUGUUGGACAGUUCAAUUCAUAUGAAACUUGUUUCAUCAUAAACUAGAUUGAAAUAUCUUUCCACAAUAGCUUUCUUGAGUAUAUUGGAGCACAAUUGAUAGUUUGAAUCAUUUGUUCAAUGUGCUUCUUGAAUUCUACCAGAAAUCGAGUUUUGGUCGAUUUCGCAUAUUCUGGUUUCAUUCCUUUGGAAAUUGAUAUCCUUUAGCUUUCUUAUUCAAUUGAGCUUUAUAUUACUGCUUUGAAUUCUUGUAUGCUCUUGUCCUUAAAGUUAUUUGCAUUCUUGAAAACUAUUGUGUAACGUUUAUGCUAUAUCGUAUUGACUCAUAUAGGCACAUGUAUAUCCUAUUGUUCUGCAUUUGCUUUCGAUAUGUGC
Molecule: long non-coding RNA, 880 nt
Filed under: Musa acuminata (dwarf banana)
Lineage: Eukaryota; Viridiplantae; Streptophyta; Magnoliopsida; Zingiberales; Musaceae
Description: long non-coding RNA (MACU_LNC001259)
Source: RNAcentral